This 253-nucleotide ribosomal RNA is filed under the name uncultured bacterium. Its description in RNAcentral is "partial 16S ribosomal RNA". It matches the Rfam family "Bacterial small subunit ribosomal RNA", at positions 524 to 776 of the family's 1533-position model. The record is from RNAcentral.
UACGGGGGGUGCGAGCGUUGUCCGGAAUCACUGGGCGUAAAGGGCGCGUAGGUGGUUUGAUAAGGGUGUGGUGAAAGCCCGGGGCUCAACCCCGGGUCUGCCGUGCCGACUGUCAAACUCGAGGGCUGUAGAGGCAGACGGAAUUCCGGGUGUAACGGUGGAAUGCGUAGAGAUCCGGAGGAAGACCGGUGGCGAAGGCGGUCUGCUGGGCAGUUUCUGACACUGAGGCGCGACAGCGUGGGGAGCAAACAGG